ACAUACACAUCCUCCCCUCCACUCAUAUCUUUGCAAAAAUGGCACCCAUGACCUCACAGUCUCAAAACAAAUGGCAUGUGAGGGAGAAUAAAAGUCUCCAUUGUUCUCUGUUGUUCUCCUUGAAGAGGCAAACACCAAGUAACCACAACAAAAUGAUCUCUGUGGAGCCCCGUCUGCAUGGAGACCGGGAGUGACAACAGUAGAGUCCCUCAGCAAACACCUGUAGACACUCUCGGGCCUGCUGAUGGCAAACCAGAUCCGCUUACUGGACUCAUUCCUGUACUUUUAUCCCAACAAACUGUGACAUGCUGAGAUGUGAAGGCUGUCAACUUUUCUUUGUAAAUGUUUCAACCCAGGAAGACAUUAUCUUACCCGCCAUGAAGCCUUCUGGAAACACAUUCCUCUGGAGCAGCAAAAGGGGAAGCCAAUUUUGACGCACACCAACCUAGAUGCUGGAAGUUUCCUUUCGCCCAGCUCUUGGCAAGAUGAGUAUCAAGCCGAGAUUUAAUUACAGACCUGGUCAGCACCUACACACAGUAUUCAUUCCCUGCAGACAUCUGCCUGCGCUUUGGAUCACAAUAGGUCCUACCACGAUCAGUUCUGCAUUUUAUGGUAAGACAGGUCUGGAGCCACUGAUAGGUUUCCACAGACCAGACACUAAUUUCAGUAUCCUGUACUUAGAAUUUCCAAAUAAAAAAAAUUUAAGAAAGCAUCUUCAAGACACAUGCACAGGGACACUGUCAGUCGCUCCAAUCCCCUCGAUGAUUUUACGGUGGAGAACACUAGGCAGAGCUUGGAAGGCACACGACAGAGGCUGGCAUGCACCUAACUUGCAAACAUUCUCUUUGGUUUUAUCUAACAGUUCUGAACAGUAAAAAGGUUAACUUGAAAAAAUUUUUAAUGGAAAUAUGAAGAGAGAGAGAAAGCUCAGGUUUCUUAGGCUAGGAAAAAUUACAUUUAAUGCCCCUGACCGGGGAGAAAAGGAUGUAAUUUGAUUACAGUUGUGUAAUAAGUUUAGAGUCAGAGCUUUUACAAGAAAUAUCUGCAUCUCAUCUGAAGAAUAGGCUUUUUUUUUUAACCAUGGUAACUGUGAGGGCCAUGCAUCAUUAAAUGUUAAGGAUUUCAAAAUAAUAAGGGAAGAAAGAUCCUCAUUCAUAGGCACAUUUUUUGUAUGCAUAUAUAUACAUUUUUUAAGUAGAUACACAUACAUAUACAUACACA
Molecule: long non-coding RNA, 1221 nt
Organism: Manis pentadactyla (Chinese pangolin)
Lineage: Eukaryota; Metazoa; Chordata; Mammalia; Pholidota; Manidae
Exons: 2
Source: RefSeq, a predicted model, not a curated record